UUUUACAAUGGAGAGUUUGAUCCUGGCUCAGGAUGAACGCUAGCUAUAGGCUUAACACAUGCAAGUCGAGGGGAAACGGCAUUAUGUGCUUGCACAUUCUGGACGUCGACCGGCGCACGGGUGAGUAUCGCGUAUCCAACCUUCCCUCCACUCGGGGAUACCCCGUUGAAAGACGGCCUAAUACCCGAUGUUGUCCACAGAUGGCAUCUGACGUGGACCAAAGAUUCAUCGGUGGAGGAUGGGGAUGCGUCUGAUUAGCUUGUUGGUGCGGGUAACGGCCCACCAAGGCGACGAUCAGUAGGGGUUCUGAGAGGAAGGUCCCCCACA
RNAcentral lists this ribosomal RNA (327 nucleotides) under Prevotella intermedia. Its description in RNAcentral is "bacterial SSU rRNA". It matches the Rfam family "Bacterial small subunit ribosomal RNA", at positions 1 to 312 of the family's 1533-position model. Lineage: Bacteria; Pseudomonadati; Bacteroidota; Bacteroidia; Bacteroidales; Prevotellaceae. The record is from RNAcentral.